GCGCGAAAACUUUACAAUGCUGGCAACAGCGAUAAGGGAACCUCGAGUGCCAGGUUACAAAUCUGGCUGUCGAGAUGCCUAAAAAGCAUUUCAUAGCAAGGGCCGGGCAAGACCAGUGCCAGCCGCCGCGGUAACACCGGCGGCUCGAAUGGUAACCGUUAUUAUUGGGUCUAAAGGGUCUGUAGCCGGCCGGAUGAGUCUCUUGAGAAAUCUGGCAGCUUAACUGUCAGGCUUUCAGGAGAUACUGUCUGGCUCGAGGCCGGGAGAGGUGAGAGGUACUUCAGGGGUAGGGGUGAAAUCUUGUAAUCCUUGAAGGACCACCAGUGGCGAAGGCGUCUCACCAGAACGGACCUGACGGCAAGGGACGAAAGCUAGGGGCACGAACCG
Molecule: ribosomal RNA, 387 nt
Filed under: uncultured bacterium
Lineage: Bacteria
Description: bacterial SSU rRNA
Rfam family: Archaeal small subunit ribosomal RNA
Source: RNAcentral